RNAcentral lists this microRNA precursor (57 nucleotides) under Danio rerio (zebrafish). Its description in RNAcentral is "Dre-Mir-1788_pre stem-loop". It matches the Rfam family "mir-1788 microRNA precursor family", at positions 11 to 69 of the family's 77-position model. RNAcentral also lists the same sequence under 1 other name. Lineage: Eukaryota; Metazoa; Chordata; Actinopteri; Cypriniformes; Danionidae. The record is from RNAcentral.
GGCUUGUUUUAAGUUGCCUGCGAUCUCUUAAUGACUCAGGCAGCUAAAGCAAGUCUG